Molecule: ribosomal RNA, 1058 nt
Filed under: Sphaerostilbella sp. TFC 97-169
Lineage: Eukaryota; Fungi; Ascomycota; Sordariomycetes; Hypocreales; Hypocreaceae
Description: eukaryotic LSU rRNA
Rfam family: Eukaryotic large subunit ribosomal RNA
Source: RNAcentral
CAGUAACGGCGAGUGAAGCGGCAACAGCUCAAAUUUGAAAUCUGGCCUCACGGCCCGAGUUGUAAUUUGUAGAGGAUGCUUUUGGCGAGGCGCCGCCCGAGUUCCCUGGAACGGGACGCCACAGAGGGUGAGAGCCCCGUCUGGCUGGCCGCCGAGCCUCUGUAAAGCUCCUUCGACGAGUCGAGUAGUUUGGGAAUGCUGCUCAAAAUGGGAGGUAUAUGUCUUCUAAAGCUAAAUAUUGGCCAGAGACCGAUAGCGCACAAGUAGAGUGAUCGAAAGAUGAAAAGCACUUUGAAAAGAGGGUUAAACAGUACGUGAAAUUGUUGAAAGGGAAGCGCUCGUGACCAGACUUGGGCUUGGCGAAUCAUCCAGGGUUCUCCCUGGUGCACUUCGCYUCGUCCAGGCCAGCAUCAGCUCGCCGCGGGGGACAAAGGCGCUGGGAACGUGGCUCCUUCGGGAGUGUUAUAGCCCGGCGCGCAAUACCCUGGGGUGGGCUGAGGUUCGCGCAUCUGCAAGGAUGCUGGCGUAAUGGUCAUCGGCGACCCGUCUUGAAACACGGACCAAGGAGUCGUCCUCGUAUGCGAGUGUUCGGGUGUCAAACCCCUACGCGUAAUGAAAGUGAACGCAGGUGAGAGCUUCGGCGCAUCAUCGACCGAUCCUGAUGUUCUCGGAUGGAUUUGAGUAAGAGCAUACGGGGCCGGACCCGAAAGAAGGUGAACUAUGCCUGUAUAGGGUGAAGCCAGAGGAAACUCUGGUGGAGGCUCGCAGCGGUUCUGACGUGCAAAUCGAUCGUCAAAUAUGGGCAUGGGGGCGAAAGACUAAUCGAACCUUCUAGUAGCUGGUUUCCGCCGAAGUUUCCCUCAGGAUAGCAGUGUUGAACUCAGUUUUAUGAGGUAAAGCGAAUGAUUAGGGACUCGGGGGCGCUAUUUAGCCUUCAUCCAUUCUCAAACUUUAAAUAUGUAAGAAGCCCUUGUUGCUUAAUUGAACGUGGGCAUUCGAAUGUAUCACCACUAGUGGGCAAUUUUUGGUAAGCAGAACUGGCGAUGCGGGAUGAACCG